This 403-nucleotide ribosomal RNA is filed under the name uncultured bacterium. RNAcentral's name for it is "partial 16S ribosomal RNA". It matches the Rfam family "Bacterial small subunit ribosomal RNA", at positions 28 to 526 of the family's 1533-position model. The record is from RNAcentral.
GACGAACGCUGGCGGCGUGCCUAAUACAUGCAAGUCGAACGCAGUGGGGACGGGUGAGUAACACGUGGGUAACCUCCCAUCAGAAGGGAUAACACUUGGAAACAGGUGCUAAACCGAUACUGAUGGAUGGACCCGCGGUGCAUUAGCUAGUUGGUGAGGUAACGGCUCACCAUGGCCACGAGGAAUAGACGAACGUAGAGGGUGAUCGGCCACAUUGGGACUGCGCCACGGCCCAUACGCCGACGGGAGGCAGCAGUAGGGAAUCUUCGGCAAUGGACGAAAGGCUGACCGAGCAACGCCGCGGGAGUGAAGAAGGUUUUCGGAUCGUAAAACUCUGUUGUUAGAGAAGCGGGAUCUAACCAGAAAGCCACGGCUAACUACGUGCCAGCAGCCGCGGUAAUUC